UCCAGGGGGUCGACAAAACUGUUUCGGGACACCACAAUAAACGGAGGGCCGACCAGGAUGCAGAAACAGCAGACGGAGUCCAAGGACAGCAGCGCGGCAUCCCAGCCUCAGGCCUGCCCGGAAGGUGUUCGGCCUCAGAAAAUGCCAAUAAGAUGGAAGGUUUUCAAAAUGUAUCUGGAACCAGGGCAUGGGAAAUGACGAAGCCACAAAAGAAGCAAACUGCCCUCAGGAGCAAGAGGAGUGGAGGCCAGACAGAGGACUGGAGCCACAGGACUAGCCUUCCAAGCUUCCCUCCCUCCCACCCCUGGGGCCAGAAUAUCAGAGAUGCUGGGAGCAGUGCAGCAGGUGUCUUCCAAAGACCUCAGAGCAGUAAAGCUCUCCCAGACACCCCUUCAAGAUUGAACUCCAAAGCCCCUGGGGCAGAGACUGGGCACCACCGAGCAAAUACAAAAAUCCACGCUCUGACUCCAGGUGCGGAUGGAGGAGACGCGUCAGGCCUAGAAACAAAAUGAGUAGGAAGCAUUAGAGAGGCUGCCCAUCUGCCUCCCCUGCCUCCCCGCAGAGUAGAGUCAGUGGAAAAACUCUGGCGGAGUCGGCAUCGUGACCUCUUCAAGCCCAUAGCUUUUUCAAAGAGAAGAUGGCAGGUAGCUCGAAACGACAAGAGGGAUGCAAAAUAGAAUGAAACUAAGUUAGAACUGAAAAUGGGCUUAAAACCUUCCAGAGACUCUACCCAAUUCAUUUCACAGACAGAAUCGAGGAAGGGUAGGGAAAAAGCAGGUGCUGCCUCCGCCCAGCGCGCCCAGUGUGUAGCGGGGGGAAAAGGGGCAUUGCUACCUCCCGAGCGAAGAUGGAAGGAGCAGAUAUGACAUAAAUCCCUCGAGGGUCUACAUCUUCAGGGCGAUUCCAAUCUACGGACGGGCUGUGGGAGGAAAAAAAGAAGAAAAACUCAGACCCUUUAAAUUCUCAGAUCUUGUUUUCCCCUACCCAUCACAAAGGGGAACCCAAAGCCAGCUACCGGGUAAGAGAGACCGACCAGGGAGGGAAAUGCAUCAGGGAAUCCAGCCAACUGCACCACGGAGAUGGGUACAAGCAGCCAGCAGCGCAAGGCGUUCGUCUGCGGCGCAGCCCCUCACCUCGGGCCAUCCCCGGGACCCUCCUGCGUCCUUAGGUUGUUGAGUGCAUCAGGGAGUGCGUGGACUGACGGCUCCGGGGUCCCAGCCAGCAAGCGAGACCCAGCAUCCUGGGCGUGGCCACGGCGGCGCACGUGGACCAGCAAGAGCGCAGCGCCGGCCACGCCCGCGGCCACCAGCAGUCCCAGAGCAGGCGGCAAAAGGUAGCGCUGCGGGUCCCCGGGCCUCAGGCCCGGCGGGGCCGCGGGCAACGCGCUUGCGCCGUCGGGGUGCACUGGGAACUCACACCGCGCUCCCAUGUAGCCGGGCGCGCAGGCGCAGACGAGGCCGGAGAAGUGGGCGUAGCAGCGGCCGCCGUGAGCACAGGGGCGCGCGGCGCACGGGUCCGCGCGCUCGCGGCAGUCGCGGCCGCCGAAGCCCAGCGCGCAGGAGCAGCGGUGCGCGCCGCCGCCCUCCACACACGUGCCGCCGUUAGCGCAGGCGCGGCCCGCGCAGUCGUCCAGAUCGUGCUCGCAGCGCGGACCCGCGAAGCCGGCGCGGCAGCUGCAGCGCAGGGCGUGGCCCAGGUCCAGGCAGAGUCCACCUGUGGGGAAGGGAGCAUCAGAGGGCGCAGUCCGGGAGCCGGGGACCCACCUGCCCGCGCUGUUUCCCAGCUCUAUCAUCGCUGCACGGGGUCCCCUUUUUCUCUCUGUCUCUAACUCAAGGGCCAGCGUCUUGGAGUGUGCCAGGAAAGCCAGCUCGCUUCUUUUCUACCUAAUGAAGUUUUGGAAUAAUUAAUUCAGCUCCACCUCUUUGGCU
Symphalangus syndactylus (siamang) is the source of this 1928-nucleotide long non-coding RNA. RefSeq lists it as uncharacterized. Lineage: Eukaryota; Metazoa; Chordata; Mammalia; Primates; Hylobatidae. The record is from RefSeq and is a predicted model, not a curated record.